This 411-nucleotide RNase P RNA is filed under the name Sphingomonadales bacterium. Its description in RNAcentral is "RNase P RNA component class A". It matches the Rfam family "Bacterial RNase P class A". From Rfam's summary of the family: Ribonuclease P (RNase P) is a ubiquitous endoribonuclease, found in archaea, bacteria and eukarya as well as chloroplasts and mitochondria. Its best characterised activity is the generation of mature 5'-ends of tRNAs by cleaving the 5'-leader elements of precursor-tRNAs. Cellular RNase Ps are ribonucleoproteins. The record is from RNAcentral. Lineage: Bacteria; Pseudomonadati; Pseudomonadota; Alphaproteobacteria; Sphingomonadales.
GCGGAGGGCUGGAUGGCCGCGGGCGCCCAUAGCUCCGCGCAAGUGGACAGCUGGGUGUCCGAGGAAAGUCCGGACUCCCUGAAGCGACGGUGCCGGGUAACGCCCGGGCGGGGCAACCCGACGGAAAGCGCCACAGAGAAGAGACCGCCCCCGCAGGCCGGGGGCAAGGGUGAAACGGUGGGGUAAGAGCCCACCGCGGGACGGGCAACCGGACCGGCAUGGCAAGCCCCACCGGGAGCAACGCCGAAUAGGGACCGCGCGCCGCGCCCGGAAACGGGCCGGCAGGGGAGCUUCGCCCCGAGCGGUCCGGGUUGGCGGCUAGAGACGGCAGGCAACUGCCGGACCAGAGGAAUGGCCAUCCAGGGGGCGCAAGCCCCCGGACAGAAUCCGGCUUACAGGCCCUCCGCGCAU